This 429-nucleotide ribosomal RNA is filed under the name Verrucomicrobiota bacterium. RNAcentral describes it as "Verrucomicrobia bacterium partial 16S ribosomal RNA". It matches the Rfam family "Bacterial small subunit ribosomal RNA", at positions 355 to 776 of the family's 1533-position model. Lineage: Bacteria; Pseudomonadati; Verrucomicrobiota. The record is from RNAcentral.
UAGGGAAUCUUCCGCAAUGGACGAAAGUCCGACGGAGCAACGCCGCGUGAGUGAAGAAGGAUUUCGGUUCGUAAAACUCUGUUGUCAGGGCAGAAAAAAUGUAUAGUAACUAUAUACAAAAGAGACGGUACCUAACCAGAAAGCCACGGCUAACUACGUGCCAGCAGCCGCGGUAAUACGUAGGUGGCAAGCGUUGUCCGGAAUUAUUGGGCGAAAAGCACGCGCAGGUGGUUUAGAAAGUCUGAUGUGAAAGCCCACGGCUCAACCGUGAAGGGUCAUUGGGAUCAAAUAAACUUGAGUGCAGGGGAGGAACGUGGAAGUCCUGGUGGAGCGGUGAAAUGAGUAGAGAUUAGGAGGAACACCGGUGGCAAACGCGGCUUUUUGGCCUGCAACUGACACUGAGGCGCGAAAACGUGGGGAGCAAACAGG